This 465-nucleotide ribosomal RNA is filed under the name uncultured bacterium. Its description in RNAcentral is "partial 16S ribosomal RNA". It matches the Rfam family "Bacterial small subunit ribosomal RNA", at positions 28 to 507 of the family's 1533-position model. The record is from RNAcentral.
GACGAACGCUGGCGGCGUGCUUAACACAUGCAAGUCGAACGGAAAGGCCCUGCUUGCAGGGUACUCGUGUGGCGAACGGGUGAGUAACACGUGGGUGAUCUGCCCUGCACUUCGGGAUAAGCCUGGGAAACUGGGUCUAAUACCGGAUAGGAGCCAUUUUUAGUGUGAUGGUUGGAAAGUUUUUUCGGUGUAGGAUGAGCUCGCGGCCUAUCAGCUUGUUGGUGGGGUAAUGGCCUACCAAGGCGGCGACGGGUAGCCGGCCUGAGAGGGUGGACGGCCACAUUGGGACUGAGAUACGGCCCAGACUCCUACGGGAGGCAGCAGUGGGGAAUAUUGCACAAUGGGCGCAAGCCUGAUGCAGCGACGCCGCGUGGGGGAUGACGGCCUUCGGGUUGUAAACUCCUUUCGCUAGGGACGAAGCUUUUUGUGACGGUACCUAGAGAAGAAGCACCGGCUAACUACGUG